AGGACUUUGCCGAGCGUCGGGCUCCGCGCGGGGCUGAGUCGGGCCAGCGGGUACUUUCGAGGGCUUCUCUACAGCCAGGGACUGAUGCCCUUGGCCAUGACACACCCCCAGCUGCUGUCCACUCAGCCACAGCCUGCGUGACUGGGUCGUCGCUGCUCCAGCCAUUUCACGUCACCGUUCCCUUUAUGAACAGUUUGAUGGGGCGUCGGGCGGAUGACAGCGGGAACGGUUGUGAUCACUGGCGGAAUCCUAGCGACGGUCAUCCUCCUCUGCAUCAUCGCCGUGCUGUGCUACUGUAGGCUCCAGUAUUACUGUUGCAAGAAGAGCAGAGCCGAGGAUGCGGACGACGAGGAGGAGGAGCACGACCUGCCCACACACCCCCGAGGCCCCCCCUGCAAUGCCUGCAGCUCCCAAGCCCUGGACGGCCAAGGCGGCCUGGCACCUCUCCCCAGCGAGCCCUGCGGCCAGCCGUGCGGGGUGGCCGCCAGCCACUGCACCACCUGCUCCCCAUACAGCUCCCCCUUUUACAUACGGACGGCAGACAUGGUGCCCAACGGGGGCGGAGGCGAGAGGCUCCCCUUUGCUCCCACAUACUACAAGGAGGGGGGCCCCCCAUCCCUCAAAGUGGCAGCACCCCAGAGUUACCCGGUGACGUGGCCAGGCUCUGGGCGUGAGGCCUUCACCAAUCCAAGGGCUAUUAGUACAGAUGUGUAACCCCUCUCACCCCCGACCCCCCCACACCGCAAGGCUACUGCCCCAGCAGGAGCCAUGGGGGCAGCAGAUGUCCCCUCCCACAGCCCACAAGGACCGGCUCUGUGUCUUGGCUUUCUUUGCCCCGCAGUGGAAGGCUCACCCAGAUUCAGGCAAUGGAGGGCAUGGAGAUCCAGGGCGGGGCCUGGCACAUCCCUUCGGCAGCUUGGCCAGUUUCUCUGUGGGCCGUUCCUCUGGCCAGUGCCAGCAUCACCGCAGCCCUCUCACUUCCCUCAGCCCCUGGCUGUGCCCGACUCCGGGAGGAGGAGCCCCCAGUGCAGCAGAGGCUCCGGAGCCUUCCAGAGAAGUUGGGGGAUGAAUGGAGAAAGGGCAAGAAGAGAGGCGAGAACGAAGACGUUGGCAGAAGGAGGGGGUUCAGAGGACCAGGACUUGCGAACUCAAAGCCAAGAGCAAGUUCACGGUCUGGUUUUGUGCCUCGGCUGUCACAGAGACGGCAGGCCCUGCAGCUGCUCCAGCACGGAUGUGCUUUCCUGAACACACCCCAUCUGCACCUGCCCCCGCCCCUGAUGGACCACGAUGACUGGGCUUUCAAGGUCAGGUUUAUAGGCAAUUUGCAGGGAAUGCCCCCCAAACGGCUGUUCUGUCUCCCCCACAAUCCUCUCUUCCCUGCCUUGGGAACCAGCUGCCCCGGCUGGAGAACCUUCUUUACAUUCUGUUCCUAGAGUUAGAGGGGCUUUGUGAGGGAGAGCCUGCGGGUGGUCUCCGGGGCCCUGGUCCGCCACACAAGCACUGUGCGUGGAUGCAGCUGUGCGUGUGCAUCCCCAGGUGUGUACACACACGCCUGUCCCCACCAGCACACCCCGGGGCUCUGCCGCCUCUGGGAGCCGCAGAAUAGAAGGGUCUCUGUGGACCAACUAGAGGGCAAAAUCCACCUGCAGACAGCAGGAGCGAAAGCUGACUAAGGUGGCGGCCCGUCCCCACCGCAAGCAGCUGGCUGGUACAGGAAGAGCCUGCGGCAUGUCCUGUGGGACAUGCUGCAGCCUUGAGGCCACGGAGGCCGCUCAGAGACCUGGUGUUCUGCGUGGGCAGCCUGCCCUAAGGCCGCAGAGCAGGACUGCUUUCUUCCACCAGAGACAGCAGCCCCCACUGCUGAGGAUUGAGGGACUCAAUUAGCGAUCAGAUCCCAUGCUUGCUGUCCUCCCUCCGCUGACCCAUUCCCCAGUCUCGGUCUAGGGCCAACUCACGGCUCUGUCACUCUAGCCCCAAGUCCAAUUCCCAGUUAGAACUCAGCUGUGGCCUUCUGCUGUUUGAGUACAUGCAUCUGAUGAGUUUUCCAGUUGCCUCUGCACUAAGGGGUGGCUGCCGCCCCCUUCUACAGGCAUUCGUCAUCCCCAGCCUCUCCUGAGUCACUGGAUGCUGCCGAGCGUGGCAGCAGGGGAGCUGGCCACUCUGCUGAAAUCUUGAUUUUGCAGUUGGGGUGGGGAUGGGGUGGGGCUGGAGGAGGGGAGGAGAAAGAGAACGCACCCCACUUUUGCCUCACUCUGGGUACUUGUCAUCUCUAUUCUCCAUCUGUGAUCAAGGCUCAGUGGGUUGGCAAUCAGCGGCCCUGGCAUCUGGUCACACGUGGGUCACUCAUGAGCUCUAGGACCAACCACUUACCUUCUGAGACCCCAUUUUCUCCAGGGAAAUGAGACUUGCCCAGACGGACUCUAAGGGCCCCUUAGGGCUUCACAAAGCCAGGAUCCCUGAAAAUUUCUGCCAGCCAGACCACUGUCUCUUGCCCUAACCCUGGCAGGGGCUGGACGUACUUGCCAACUGCCUGCUCCUAUGUGCAAGGAUGCGUGUUGAUGGAUAACAGAUCUACAGUAAAAUACAAGAUGAGCAGGCAACACAAUUGUAAUGGUCAGCAAAAAGCAAACGUGUUUGACCCUCCCGCUGAGGGACCUCAGAGGGUCACCCUUCUCUUCUACCAGGAGGCAGCUCUAGGUGGGGUGAUGAGCUCUGUCCCAGAGCCCAGAGGGACCAUCUCAGGACCGCAACUUUAACACGCCCCCUCCCGCUGCCAGCUCUUCCUGGGCUAAGCCCACCCUCUUGACGUGGACCUGGCUGCUCUCACCGCUUUGAUGACCAGCCCCAGUGCCUUGCUGCCCUGGCAUUCCACAGCCACACAACCACAGCAGGGGCUGCCCCUCCUCCCUGAAUGAUUAUGGUACCUCCUGCCUUGGGAAAAAUCAAGACCCGGUCAACUCUGACCCGCUCCUUGGCUCUGAUCUUUUGGGGUCCCCGAGUGAAAAGCAUUUCAUGCAACCCCAUCUCCUAUAGCUUUCCCAGCCUAAAUCAACCCACAAAUCAAAAAUCUGGAUUUGGGGCAUUGGAGCAAUGGUGACCACGGCUCUUUCCCGCCCCCUCCCUGCGAGCCCCACUUUGCUCAGGGCACAGGCUCAGGGUUGCCUGCCCACCUUCCUGUAACUGCAAGAGCCUUGCCCGUGGACAAGGAAGCUCACCCCCACUCAACAGCACUGUACUUAAGAGCCGCCGAGGCUAUGCUCUGGGACACUUUUUGGACACUUUUCAAAUUGCACCCUAAACAGGAAGAGGAGGGGCCGGGAACCCCAGGCUCUCUCUGCCUUUUCUCUCCACCUCCACUUCAGUGCUCCUGCUACAAAUUUCUUGUCCUGCAUCUUUGAUAACUUGGAGUCACAACCAAGCGAAUGUCAAAAUAAAGAAGGAAUUUGACAUAGAAAUCCCCCAGGGGCCUCUGUUCUUCACCUGGGGAAGGGGCAGCUGGGCAUAGACUUAAGAGGGAAUGCCCCUUCUCAUCACCCAAAAUGUGCAUUUUCAAACCCAGCUCUACCUGCCUCCUCUCCCUUCCUGCUUCCCUUCGCCGUGUAGCUCCCCACCCCACCACCCCUUGCCUCAGUGGGAGCUCACUUCCAGGAAGGAUGUGUCAUGUGUUGGGAAAGGCGAUUUGUGCAGCCACUGCUGCCCUCGGAGCUGGAAGGAGCCCAGCCGUGACAGGGAGCCUCCCUGGGGAGCAGCCUGCGCCCACCUCACCCUCACUGUCAGGUCCUGUGGUGUCCCCACCUGUAGUUGAUAGUUCAGGUCCUCAGCUCAGACCCCAGCAGAGAUGGGAGAGGUGGGGAAUGAGGACCAGAGAACCAGGAUGUAGGUUCUGGGUGAAAGGGAGGAGUUAGGAAGGAGGAGGGUGAAGGCAGGUGUGUGGUGCCGUGAGAGUAUGUGAGAGAAAGUGAUGCUCCCUCCCCAUCUCAGGACAAGGCGAGCCCUGACCACGGCUGACUGGACAGCAGGCCAGCUGGCCUGAGCAUCAACAUCCAGGCUUCCCGAGCUCAGGGUGCUCUGUCCCAAGCAGGAGACAGCCGGCUGCAGCUCUGUCACUAGUUGUCCCCUGCGAACAAAAGCCCCGAGGCAAAUUCUGUCAUCACUGGCAAGGACUCCAGCCUUCAGCCACCUCCUCCAUCCCCCACAGAGCAGCCACACUCUCCCCAGCCUUAAGUCAGCCUCUUCACUCUGUGGGGCCUCAGGCCACGUGGUGGGGCCACAGCCCUGCCCUGCAGAGUCCCUUUCUGAGAUAGCCCUGAGCACGCCCAGCCAUUUUCUACGCUCAAGUUUAGAAGCGCCGGAGUUCCCUGUGGCUCAGUGGGUUAAGGAUCUGGCAUUGUCACUGCUGUGGCUCUGGUUACAGCUGUGGCACAGGUUCCAUCCCUGGCCUGGGAAUUUCCACCUGCCGCAGGUGUGGCCAGAAAAAAUACUUUCAAGUGCUGCUCAGAGAAUACUGAUUACACCAUCAAUAUCUGAGGCCAAGCUUCUUGACCAAAGCAGCAGCAAGAAGAGUCAGAACCAAGAGUUCCCCCACCUCCGGCUCUACCUGCUCAGGAUGGAAAAGGCCCAAUCAUGGGCCCGACCUGGGCACGUCCUGGAUGACAGUAACCUCUCUCUCCCUCCUCAGCCUGGUCCAGGCUGCUCCUCUCCCCUCCCUGGUGGCCGUUCUGUCCACCUUAGUCCUUCAUCCCUGAAGCCCAUCCCUCCUCCACCGCCUAGCAUCUCCCUCCAUGGAGAAGCGAGUAGCCCCUAAAGGGUGCUGCCUGCCCCUCAGGCCUCCAGGCGCCUCUGUGAUGAUCCUCGGGGGCCUAGACCUUCGUGCCCAACAGCUGGUGCGGUGCUGGGCACCGCAGUAGUUGGGAACGAGCUGCUGGGCACAAAGCUGUCACCUCCUCGCUCCCUGUGACAUCCCAGCAGACACAGCAAUCUUUUUUUUUAAUUAUUCUAGAGCAUAGUGGAUUUACAAUGUUAUGUUAGUUUUAGGUAUACAGCACAGUAAAUCCGCUCUUUUGUUUUGUUUUGUCUUUUUGCCUUUUCUAGGGCCGCUCCUGUGGCAUAUGGAAGUUCCCAGGCUAGGGGUCCAAUCAGAGCUGUAGCCUCCGGCCUACGCCAGAGCCACAGCCACGCGGGAUCCGAGCCUCAUCUGCAACCUACACCACAGCUCACAGCAACGCCGGAUCGUUAACCCACGGAGCAAGGCCAGGGAUCGAACCUGCAACCUCAUGGUUCCUAGUUGGAUUCGUUAACCACUGAGCCACGACGGGAACUCCGUGAAUGAGUUCUAUUCAUACAUUCAUUCUUUCUUUCUCAGGCUCUUUUCCUGUAUAGGUUAUUACAGAAUAUUGAGUAGAUUUCCCUGUGCUUGACAGGAGGUCCUUGUUCGUUCUCUAUUUUAUAUCACCAUAUCACUUGUAUGUGGAAUCUAAUAAAAAAUGCUAAC
This 5491-nucleotide long non-coding RNA is filed under the name Sus scrofa (pig). Its description in RNAcentral is "lncRNA (ENSSSCG00040048175.1)". The record is from RNAcentral. Lineage: Eukaryota; Metazoa; Chordata; Mammalia; Artiodactyla; Suidae.